UCAAGCUAAUAAGAGCACAAGGUGAAUGCCUUGGCAUCAGGAGCCGAAGAAGGACGCGACAAGCUGCGAUAAGCUGCGGUCAGCUGCAAAUAAGCUCAGCCGCAGAUUUCCGAAUGGGGCAACCCCCAUGAUGAAUAGUCAUGGAUCAUGCACUGAAUCAAUAGGUGCAUGAGGGGAACCCGGGGAAGUGAAACAUCUAAGUACCCGGAGGAAGAGAAAUCAAAAGAGAUUCCGAAAGUAGUGGCGAGCGAAAUCGGAAGAGGCCAAACCGGAAGUAGUAAUACAGCCGGGGUUCGGACCGAUAUAAGCACUUCAAAGUAUAGCCGAACGGGAUGGGAAGCCCGACCAGAGACGGUGAGAGUCCGGUAAGCGAAAUACGAAGAAGGUGAUCGGUAUCCAGAGUACCAUCGGACACGUGGAAUCCGAUGGGAAGACGGGGGGACCAUCCUCCAAGCCUAAAUACUACCUGAUGACCGAUAGUGGAGAAGUACCGUGAGGGAAAGGUGAAAAGUACCCCGGGAGGGGAGUGAAAUAGUACCUGAAACCUUGUGUUUACAAGCACACAAAAAGCGUUAAAGCUUGAUGUGGUACUUUUUGUAGAACGGUCCGGCGAGUUUAUGUAUGCAGCGAGGUUAAGCACUUCAGGUGCGAAGCCGAAGGGAAACCGAGUGUGAAUAGCGCGUUAAGUUGCAUGUAUAAGACCCGAAACCGGGUGACCUAUCCAUGUGCAGGUUGAAGUUCAGGUAAAACUGAAUGGAGGACCGAACCGACCCCCGUUGAAAAGUUGGCGGAUGACGUGUGGAUAGCGGAGAAAUUCCAAUCGAACCCGGAUAUAGCUGGUUCUCCCCGAAAUAGCUUUAGGGCUAGCCUCAUAUAUGUUUACCGGAGGUAAAGCACUGAAUAGCCUAGGGGUCGAGAGACUACCGAAGCUUAUCAAACUAAGAAUGCCGGAUAAACGAGUAUGGGAGUCAGACUACGUGAGAUAAGUCUCGUGGUCAAAAGGGAAACAGCCCAGAUCUACAGCUAAGGUCCCAAAUGUAUACUAAGUGGAAAAGGAUGUGGCAAUGCUAAGACAACCAGGAUGUUGGCUUAGAAGCAGCCACUCAUUAAAAGAGUGCGUAAUAGCUCACUGGUCGAGUGAUGCUGCGCCGAAGAUUUAACGGGGCUAAGUAUACAACCGAAGCUUAGGCAGUAAUAAUACUGGGUAGGGGAGCGUUCUCAUUGGGGUGAAGUCAGAGCGAAAGCACUGGUGGACUGAUGAGAAGUGAGAAUGCCGGAAUGAGUAGCGAGAAUUGCGUGAGAAUCGUAAUGGCCGAAUAUCUAAGGUUUCCAGGGGUAGGUUCGUCCUCCCUGGGUCAGCCGGGAGCUAAGCUCAGGCCGAAAGGCGUAGGCGAUGCACACACGGUGGAGAUUCCGUGGCCUCUGAAGCUGUUAAAUAUACUGACACAUUACCGUAGCUUUACCGGGCGUUGGUUGCCCCGGGCGUAAGCCACUGAAAUCAAGUAGGGAAGUAAGUCAAGGUGAUGGCGAGAAAAGGUAUAUGGAUUGGCAAAGAGCCCGUACCGCAAACCGACACAGGUAGAUGAGGAGAGAAUCCUAAGGCCGACGGGAGAAGGGUUGUUAAGGAACUCGGCAUAUUGACCCCGUAACUUCGGAAUAAGGGGUGCCUCGUGAAAACGAGGUCGCAGUGAAAUGGCCCAGGCGACUGUUUACCAAAAACACAGGUCUCUGCUAAACCGUAAGGUGAUGUAUAGGGGCUGACGCCUGCCCGGUGCCGGAAGGUCAAGGGGAUCACUUAGAGCAAUCGAAGGUGAGAACUUAAGCCCCGGUAAACGGCGGCCGUAACUAUAACGGUCCUAAGGUAGCGAAAUUCCUUGUCAGGUAAGUUCUGACCCGCACGAAAGGCGUAACGAUCUGGGCACUGUCUCAACAGCCCGCCCGGCGAAAUUGUAGUACCGGUGAAGAUGCCGGUUACCCGCGACUAGACGGAAAGACCCCAUGGAGCUUUACUGUAGCUUGAUACUGAGAUUCGGUGAAUUAUGCACAGGAUAGGUGGGAGACUGUGAAACAGGUGCUUCGGCGCUUGCGGAGUCGCUGUUGGGAUACCACUCUUGAUUCACUGGAUUUCUAACCUGCGGCCGUGAAUCCGGCCGGGGGACAAUGUCAGGUGGGCAGUUUGACUGGGGCGGUCGCCUCCAAAAGAGUAACGGAGGCGUUCAGAG
Molecule: ribosomal RNA, 2222 nt
Filed under: metagenome
Description: bacterial LSU rRNA
Rfam family: Bacterial large subunit ribosomal RNA
Source: RNAcentral